AUAUAUAUAAUCAAAAAGUGACUGAUACCAUAUAGUUGUUCCAAUACAUAUACCAAAACAUAAAAGUCAAUCAGUCAACAUCAUUACAUGGCCCAAAAGAUAGAUCCUAGAAAGAGACAAAAGACAAGACUAACUACAAGGAUCUAGUAGAGCUCAUGACUGGAUGGAUCAGAGUCAGAUGAAUCGAAGAUAGGGUGGGG
RNAcentral lists this long non-coding RNA (200 nucleotides) under Elaeis guineensis (African oil palm). RNAcentral's name for it is "long non-coding RNA (EGUI_LNC060846)". Lineage: Eukaryota; Viridiplantae; Streptophyta; Magnoliopsida; Arecales; Arecaceae. The record is from RNAcentral.